GACGAACGCUGGCGGCGUGCUUAACACAUGCAAGUCGAGCGGUAAGGCCCUUUCGGGGGUACACGAGCGGCGAACGGGUGAGUAACACGUGGGUGACCUGCCCUCAGCUCUGGGAUAAGCCUGGGAAACCGGGUCUAAUACUGGAUAUGACUCCAUGACGCAUGUUGUGGGGUGGAAAGCCUUGUGCGGCUGAGGAUGGGCCCGCGGCCUAUCAGCUUGUUGGUGGGGUGAUGGCCUACCAAGGCGACGACGGGUAGCCGGCCUGAGAGGGCGACCGGCCACACUGGGACUGAGACACGGGCCCAGACUCCUACGGGAGGCAGCAGUGGGGAAUCUUGCGCAAUGGGCGAAAGCCUGACGCAGCGA
RNAcentral lists this ribosomal RNA (366 nucleotides) under uncultured bacterium. RNAcentral describes it as "bacterial SSU rRNA". It matches the Rfam family "Bacterial small subunit ribosomal RNA", at positions 28 to 394 of the family's 1533-position model. The record is from RNAcentral.